GACGAACGCUGGCGGCGUGCCUAAUACAUGCGAGUAGAACGCUGAAGGAGGAGCUUGCUUCUCUGGAUGAGUUGCGAACGGGUGAGUAACGCGUAGGUAACCUGCCUGGUAGCGGGGGAUAACUAUUGGAAACGAUAGCUAAUACCGCAUAAUAGUAGAUGUCGCAUGACAUUUGCUUAAAAGGUGCAAUUGCAUCACUACCAGAUGGACCUGCGUUGUAUUAGCUAGUUGGUGAGGUAACGGCUCGCCAAGGCAACGAUACAUAGCCGACCUGAGAGGGUGAUCGGCCACACUGGGACUGAGACACGGCCCAGACUCCUACGGGAGGCAGCAGUAGGGAAUCUUCGGCAAUGGACGGAAGUCUGACCGAGCAACGCCGCGUGAGUGAAGAAGGUUUUCGGAUCGUAAAGCCCUGUUGUAAGAGAAGAACGAGUGUGAGAGUGGAAAGUUCACACUGUGACGGUAUCUUACCAGAAAGGGACGGCUAACUACGUG
RNAcentral lists this ribosomal RNA (495 nucleotides) under uncultured bacterium. Its description in RNAcentral is "partial 16S ribosomal RNA". It matches the Rfam family "Bacterial small subunit ribosomal RNA", at positions 28 to 507 of the family's 1533-position model. The record is from RNAcentral.